Molecule: ribosomal RNA, 478 nt
Filed under: uncultured bacterium
Lineage: Bacteria
Description: partial 16S ribosomal RNA
Rfam family: Bacterial small subunit ribosomal RNA
Source: RNAcentral
GAUGAACGCUGGCGGCGUGCUUAACACAUGCAAGUCGAACGGGAAUUAUUUUAUUGAAACUUCGGUCGAUUUAAUUUAAUUCUAGUGGCGGACGGGUGAGUAACGCGUGGGUAACCUGCCUUAUACAGGGGGAUAACAGUCAGAAAUGGCUGCUAAUACCGCAUAAGCGCACAGAGCUGCAUGGCUCAGUGUGAAAAACUCCGGUGGUAUAAGAUGGACCCGCGUUGGAUUAGCUUGUUGGCAGGGUAACGGCCUACCAAGGCGACGAUCCAUAGCCGGCCUGAGAGGGGGAACGGCCACAUUGGGACUGAGACACGGCCCAGACUCCUACGGGAGGCAGCAGUGGGGAAUAUUGCACAAUGGGGGAAACCCUGAUGCAGCGACGCCGCGUGAAGGAAGAAGUAUCUCGGUAUGUAAACUUCUAUCAGCAGGGAAGAUAGUGACGGUACCUGACUAAGAAGCCCCGGCUAACUACGUG